Molecule: long non-coding RNA, 3683 nt
Organism: Lemur catta (Ring-tailed lemur)
Lineage: Eukaryota; Metazoa; Chordata; Mammalia; Primates; Lemuridae
Exons: 2
Source: RefSeq, a predicted model, not a curated record
CAGAACGGAAGUCUUGGUUUUAUUUAUAGUUGAUAACUUACGUCCGGCAGGCUCCACAGGAGGCACAGCAGGGAGGACAAAGAGCUCAGAGGAGCAAGGGACAAAAAUGCCCAAACCCCUGGGCUAAGGUGGUGGCUGAGAGCAAGCCUAAAGCUCCCGGGGCCGAGUUCCCCAGUAGCCAAAGCAAAGAGGGGAACAGGGUGCUGCAGAAUGACAGCACAGAAAGCGGGGCCAUAGGGCCUGGGUCCAGACAAGCCAGGAGACCUUAGAUGGAUUCUGCUUUCUUGUUGGAAAACGGGGAGAAAAAUGCUGAAUUGGUCGGGACAGCCAUGCCAUGCAUCCAGCACAGUGUCCGGAUGCAUUUCAGAGGCUCUGCCAGUCCAGGAUCCCAGGAUCAGGGACCUCGCUGCCCACCCUCAUGUGCCUGGCAGAUGUCGCCGACAGACUGCAGCACACUUCCCCAGAGCAGCCUGGGGUCUGCCUCCCAGCCCAUUCCCCUCGGUUCUUGAGGGGCCACCGCCGGUGUGCCAGAGUCGGCCUGCAGACUGGACCACUUACUUGCCCUCUGGACUGUGACCAGCUGGGGGAAGGCCCCGAUGGCUUCCGUCACGUGGUGCUCCCGGCACCCGCCGGUGCCUGCAUGUGGUAGACACACAACAUGAAGCUGUCUGGUAGGGCCGAGCAAAUUUUGCAGAUGACGAGCUGACGGCCAAAUGGGAGCCAAAGGAGACCCCAGAGGAUGAGAGCAAUGGCCAAAUGCUGAUCUCACGUGUGCUUCAGGAUAUCAGGCCACCCUGGCAGUGGACAAAGCCAAUGUAUAUUUUUGUCUCAGGACAUGUUGCAAGCUAUUCCAGGCUCUUAAGAUAAGAAAGUUCAAUGACUUUGUCAAAUUUCCUAAUUUUCCUCAAACACUACUUCAGUUUCGAUUUUCGAGCCGGGCUACCUGGCACAAAGCAUGCCUGCCAUGGACCCCCAAAGCUGCACUGGUAGCAGACAUGACUAAUUGAUCACAGAAUCCUCGAUGCUGGAUGGGGGUGUUUGGGAUCUGAGCUACUCUUCUUCAUUCCUUCACGGGAUGGACUCCCAGCUUUGUCACGAAGCCUACCCGAGGCCCACCAGGGUCUGACCCUCCUCUCUGCCCUCUGGCCACUUUUGGCCAAGACAGUUGGUCUCUCUCUCUCUCUCUCACACACACACACACACACACACGUGCAAAGGAACAUGGGCAGAGCGAGGCCGCAUGCGUCAUUUACCACCUGGAGCAGAGUGCACGUAAACGCGUAGUGGAGGCACUUAUCUGUCCUGUCUGAUGCUCCGACCCAGGACCCGGGACAGUGCACGCAGGACCUGGCACACUGUAGGUGCUCCGUGAGUGUUUGCUGAGCAGAGGGCACCUGUGGCCCACGCUGCCCUCAGCCCGAUCCUGCCACAACCAGGACCUUCUCGCGGCCAGUUCACAUCUCAGCCGCCGUUUUGGGCCCUCCCGUUGCAUCUCUGUGCCCGGGAAGGGGUGGGGUGCGAGGGGCAGCACUCUCAUCCAACAGCUGAGGAAUUAGGGCCUGGAGAACUUUCCCUGGAGUCUUUAGAUGGCUGCUGAGAUAGAUUUGCAGGUAGACGCAGACUGCGUGACCGAAGGCGGGGCCGGCUCUCCCGGGGCCUCGGCACCCCCAACUCCACUCCCUCCUCCGGGGGAUUAACUGGCAUCAAGGGAGAACUUUAGGAAAUGGCCAUGUUUAAAGGCCCCUGCUUAAUGGUCCCUUUAAUUAGAAUGGGUUUCACUUGACACCGUCUCUGCUGACCUGCAGAGGAGGGCAGCCCCUGCCCGAGUGAUCGCGCAAUGACCCAGGCAUUCCCGCGCCGGGGCCGAGCCCCGUUUGCUCUGCAGAGUUCAAAAGCAUGGCUGUUUCUGCAGCAGAACAACAGCCAGAGCCCGGAGUCGCUCCCCUCGGUUCAGGCACCCCUGUGGGAACCUGGAUCCGGGACAUUCCUCUGGAGAGAAGAAUGUGCACGCAGGGGACCGCUGGGCCCCUGCCAAGUCCAGCCGCUGGGCGGGCUCAGCGGGGAGCCUGAGUGCCGGGGAGGACCAGGCUCGAGCAGGGUGGGCCCGGGCCUGCCCUUGGGGUGCCCCUAGCCAGGAGAGGAGGUGGUCCAGGGAGCAGCAGUGUCAGCAAGGUGGGACUUGACGGCAAACCCAAGAGCUGGGGAACCCCAGGGAGGUGCCUGAUCCCACCCGGCAGGGCCAGCAGCUUCCCAGGAAGGUUUCUCUGGAGCAGGAGCGCGUGUGCUUGCGUGAGUCUGUGCUGCGGCAACAAUAAGCCCGCGCCAGGCGUCUUCACGCUGCGCGCUGCACUCUGCACUCCCGUUAUGGUCCUGCGCAUCAGCAGAGGGUCUCCUCCAGGGGGACGCGGGGAUCCAGGCUGCUCUGAGGCACAGGUCAGUUGAGCAGAGUCUCCAAGGCCACCUAAGCAGCCAGUGGCAGACCCGAGGUCUAAUCCAAGCUGUCUGCCCCCAGAGCGGGUGUUCCCACACCAGGUGACUUGCCGAGGUCACACAGCCACCGGGCUGAGCACGAAGCCCACCCGAUUCCAAGGCUUCCUCGCCCUCCACUCGGCAGAUAGUGGGAACUCUGGAGCCUCCAGCCACCAGGGAGUCACCAGCACACGUCUGAAGUUACACCUUGUGAAUGUGGAUCUAAUUCUCCCCACUGCCAUUUUCACCCAGCAUUCCUGGGUCUAACACAAUUCAGCGUGGCCUGGGGUCUUCCCGACGGCGUUGCCAGGUGCGAAACGUGGUGUCCAGGGGCCUUAUCUCAGACGACAGGUGGUAAUUUAAGUAUCCCGUGCCACCAUGCGGAAAUACGGCAACAGCCACUGGCCCUGGUCCCCUGCUGAGGGGCAGACGGUCAGGCUCAGGUGGGCACAGGGGUGCCAUCGUUCCAGGCCUUGGGGACGAGCCAGGGAGAGUGUGUGUCCCCCACGCACCUCGCUGUUUCCAAGCAGGUCCUCGUGUUCGAGGCCGGUGGCGGCCCUGUGAGCAGGACUCCGCCCCUAUCUCAUGGACGAGGAGAAGGAGACGCGGGAGGGGCCAGCCGCCUGCCGCAGGCCACCCAGCCAAGAAACGGCAGAACCAGGACACAAACCCAGAUACUUGGAUUCUCGUCAUUUCUUCCACAAAUACGUCUUGAGUCAGGCUUACUCAGAGCCGGUUCCGAGAAGGGCUGGAAAUAAACAGAUAGUCAGUGAGCCUGCACGCCGGCCCUCAGCGCCUCGCGGUCGGAGGGAGGCGGACACGCGUGGAACGACUCACGUGGAACACACCAAGCCUCACACGGGAGGAGGUUCUCACACACGCUGCCACACGGAGGGGCCUUGAGGACAUCAUGCUGGGAGAAGUGACCCAGUCACCGAGAGGACACCAGUCACCUGUGUGACCCCACGCCUGCGAGGCACGGACAGUGGACGGGGCGCCGGGGUGGGGAGGAAGGGGUGGGGAGCCAGUGUUUAACGGGGACAGAGCUUUGAUUUGGACGAUGAGAAAGUUCUGGACGUGGACGGUGGCGAUGGUUGCACAACAAUGCGAAUGUAUUUAAUGCUACAGACUACACACUAAUAAAUGGCUAAAAUAGUAAGAUUUAUACUAUGUAUAUUUUACCACAAUUAAAAUGUCUUAAAUUUGAAAAAAAA